RNAcentral lists this ribosomal RNA (456 nucleotides) under uncultured Lentisphaerota bacterium. RNAcentral describes it as "bacterial SSU rRNA". It matches the Rfam family "Bacterial small subunit ribosomal RNA", at positions 925 to 1382 of the family's 1533-position model. Lineage: Bacteria; Pseudomonadati; Lentisphaerota. The record is from RNAcentral.
ACAAGCGGUGGAGCAUGUGGUUAAUUCGAUGCAACGCGAAGAACCUUACCUGGGCUUGACAUCCCGGGAAUCCCCUGGAAACAGGGGAGUGCCCUUCGGGGAACCCGGUGACAGGUGCUGCAUGGCUGUCGUCAGUUCGUGCCGUGAGGUGUUUGGUUAAGUCCAGCAACGAACGCAACCCCUGUGUCCAGUUGCCAGCGCGCAAAGGCGGGAACUCUGGACAGACUGCCCGUUCACACGGGAGGAAGGUGGGGAUGACGUCAAGUCAGUAUGGCCCUUACAUCCGGGGCUGCACACGUGCUACAAUGGCCGGCACAAAGGGAAGCUUGACCGCGAGGUUUGGCCAACCCCAAAACCGGCCCAGUUCAGAUUGGGGUCUGCAACCCGACCCCAUGAAGUCGGAUUUGCUAGUAACGGCGCAUCAGCUACGGCGCCGUGAAUACGUUCCCGGGCCUU